RNAcentral lists this ribosomal RNA (478 nucleotides) under uncultured bacterium. Its description in RNAcentral is "partial 16S ribosomal RNA". It matches the Rfam family "Bacterial small subunit ribosomal RNA", at positions 28 to 523 of the family's 1533-position model. The record is from RNAcentral.
GACGAACGCUGGCGGCGUGCUUAACACAUGCAAGUCGAACGGUAAGGCCCUUCGGGGUACACGAGUGGCGAACGGGUGAGUAACACGUGGGUGAUCUGCCCUGCACUUCGGGAUAAGCCUGGGAAACUGGGUCUAAUACCGGAUAGGACCACUGCCUGCAUGGGUGGUGGUGGAAAGCUUUUGCGGUGUGGGAUGGGCCCGCGGCCUAUCAGCCUGUUGGUGGGGUGAUGGCCGACCAAGGCGACGACGGGUAGCCGGCCUGAGAGGGGGCCCGGCCACACUGGGACUGAGAUACGGCCCAGACUCCUACGGGAGGCAGCAGUGGGGAAUAUUGCACAAUGGGCGCAAGCCUGAUGCAGCGACGCCGCGUGAGGGAUGACGGCCUUCGGGUUGUAAACCUCUUUCAGCUAUGACGAAGCGCAAGUGACGGUAGUAGCAGAAGAAGGACCGGCCAACUACGUGCCAGCCGCCGCUGUAA